AUUGAACGCUGGCGGCAGGCCUAACACAUGCAAGUCGAGCGGCAGCGGAAAGUAGCUUGCUACUUUGCCGGCGAGCGGCGGACGGGUGAGUAAUGUCUGGGAAACUGCCUGAUGGAGGGGGAUAACUACUGGAAACGGUAGCUAAUACCGCAUGACCUCGAAAGAGCAAAGUGGGGGAUCUUCGGACCUCACGCCAUCGGAUGUGCCCAGAUGGGAUUAGCUAGUAGGUGAGGUAAUGGCUCACCUAGGCGACGAUCCCUAGCUGGUCUGAGAGGAUGACCAGCCACACUGGAACUGAGACACGGUCCAGACUCCUACGGGAGGCAGCAGUGGGGAAUAUUGCACAAUGGGCGCAAGCCUGAUGCAGCCAUGCCGCGUGUGUGAAGAAGGCCUUAGGGUUGUAAAGCACUUUCAGCGAGGAGGAAGGCACCAUACUUAAUACGUGUGGUGAUUGACGUUACUCGCAGAAGAAGCACCGGCUAACUCCGUGCCAGCAGCCGCGGUAAUACGGAGGGUGCAAGCGUUAAUCGGAAUUACUGGGCGUAAAGCGCACGCAGGCGGUUUGUUAAGUCAGAUGUGAAAUCCCCGCGCUUAACGUGGGAACUGCAUCUGAAACUGGCAAGCUAGAGUCUUGUAGAGGGGGGUAGAAUUCCAGGUGUAGCGGUGAAAUGCAUAGAGAUCUGGAUGAAUACCGGUGGCGAAGGCGGGCCCCCCUGGACAAAUCUGACUCUCAUGUGGCAAAAGCGUGGGGAGCAAACAUG
RNAcentral lists this ribosomal RNA (761 nucleotides) under uncultured Enterobacteriaceae bacterium. RNAcentral describes it as "bacterial SSU rRNA". It matches the Rfam family "Bacterial small subunit ribosomal RNA", at positions 28 to 776 of the family's 1533-position model. The record is from RNAcentral. Lineage: Bacteria; Pseudomonadati; Pseudomonadota; Gammaproteobacteria; Enterobacterales; Enterobacteriaceae.